UGGCCUGCAGCUCAGUGGUAGAGCAUGUGUUUUGCAUGCAGAAGCUCCCAAGUUCAACCCCUUGCAUUUUUG
Molecule: non-coding RNA, 72 nt
Organism: Phrynosoma platyrhinos (Desert horned lizard)
Lineage: Eukaryota; Metazoa; Chordata; Lepidosauria; Squamata; Phrynosomatidae
Source: the annotation of a GenBank genome assembly